UGGGGAAUUUUGGACAAUGGACGCAAGUCUGAUCCAGCCAUGCCGCGUGCGGGAAGAAGGCCUUCGGGUUGUAAACCGCUUUUGUCAGGGAAGAAACGAGUUUCUCUAAUACAGAGACUUACUGACGGUACCUGAAGAAUAAGCACCGGCUAACUACGUGCCAGCAGCCGCGGUAAUACGUAGGGUGCAAGCGUUAAUCGGAAUUACUGGGCGUAAAGCGUGCGCAGGCGGUUAUGCAAGACAGAUGUGAAAUCCCCGGGCUCAACCUGGGAACUGCAUUUGUGACUGCAUAGCUGGAGUGCGGCAGAGGGGGAUGGAAUUCCGCGUGUAGCAGUGAAAUGCGUAGAUAUGCGGAGGAACACCGAUGGCGAAGGCAGCCCCCUGGGUCAAGAUUGACGCUCAUGCACGAAAGCGUGGGGAGCAAACA
RNAcentral lists this ribosomal RNA (427 nucleotides) under uncultured bacterium. Its description in RNAcentral is "bacterial SSU rRNA". It matches the Rfam family "Bacterial small subunit ribosomal RNA", at positions 355 to 774 of the family's 1533-position model. The record is from RNAcentral.